Non-coding RNA from Vicugna pacos (alpaca), 171 nucleotides. Lineage: Eukaryota; Metazoa; Chordata; Mammalia; Artiodactyla; Camelidae. The record is from RefSeq and is a predicted model, not a curated record.
AAGGAAGAGGUGAGAAGGAGUAGAAAAAGAAGCGUUGAAGGUGUUGUUGUCAAGAUUAAAUGAAUUAACAAGUCAAGUGCACAGAGGAGCACAGACAAUAAAACACACUCAGCAAGUGUCAGGGAAUAAGAACAUGAUGAACCCAUACUCAACAAAUUCCAUGGAGAGGAA